CUCAGGGCAGUCAAGGAAAUUGUGAAUUGUCUGUUUUAAGAAGAAGAAAAAAAAGUGGCGACCUGACACCUGAGUGCUGAGUCCGAGACUGAUGAGCACGUUGUGACUUUGAGUUCAGAGCUUUCAUGUAAAAGAGGCUUACCUUUUUAUUGAGUGUGGAAUGUGGUCGGGGAGAAGAACAGUUUCCAACAGUUAGUCAGAGCUAUGUACUAGCUAUAUAGAUUAUAGCUCUGAGUUAGUUAGGUUACUUAUAAUAUUAAGUCACCAGCCAAUCCUAUCUGGAAUUUUGCUAUAGAUGAGACUAGACUUUCAGACGGUCGUCAACGUUGAGAAAGAAGAAGAAUCUGAAUCCAAAGUAGAGCCAGAAGAACCAACUACUAACAGUAUACCAAAAGAACUUAUUCCACACGCUCCAAGACUAGCAUUAUUGUGGCUUAUCAUUGUUGACUUACGAAUAAUGGUUUUGCUGGUGGAGUCAUCAAUGAGGAAAGCAUGGUACCUCCACUAAAUCGAAAUAUUCUUUACCAACCGACGUUAUUUUCAAUUUUGGCAUUGGACGGCCGGCACCAGACGUAUGUUAACCAGUACACGAGCAAUCCACUUGUGGCCAGUAAGCACCAGGCAUCGGAGGAGAAACACAGUAAAUGUUACUUGUCGCUCAAGUUUCCCGUUACCAAACCUUUAUCACCUCCAUCAUAUCAAAGGACUAAAGCAUCAGGUGAUGAAAUUCGUCUUUACGGUCAAUUGAGUUCGACCGUAUCACGAAUUGAAACAUCUAACCCGAUGUCGUUCAAAAUUUCCAUUGCGACCACAAGAAUAACUCACCGGCUUGGAUCUACUCAUUGGCCAGACCUCUGUUCAGGAAUGACACGUUUUUCCGCACAGACGGCCUCUAAUCGUUAAAGAAUUCGCUUUGUAAGGUCGAACGCUCAGCAUGUCUCGCUGAGAAGAAAGGAUGACCAAAGCCGGCAACAUGGGUAUGGAUUGUAAAACGGUCAGUGAAGUCGCCCCACCUGAUUACGUAAACGCAAGAUAGUGGAAGCGCCCAAAUCGUCGCAACCAACUGUCACAUAAGAAUGAAGAUGACUUGCAACUUUAGGGUGCUACUAACUAAGCAUUACCGCAAGAGGUUCGAAAAAUCUGCUGCCAGUACUACCACCUAAUCUUUUUCGACUUAAGUGCACAUUAGAGACUUUGGGAUCUGGAGUAAAUUGUCCGUCGAAUUUUUUUUAUAGCUCGUCCAGGGAGGAGUUCUGAUGAUGAUCUGAUGAAGAUGGUCUCGACCAGAGAAUGCAGUCCGAGCGAAAGCAUUGAAACUUCAGAUACUGAACUGGGAAGCCCGGCCAUAGAAUUCCGUCAACGCCGGAAUGGAUCCGAUGCCAGUUUCAAGUCGACGUCCAGCACGGAAUCGGAUUCAAUGCCGUUUGCCAACGACAACGCCGGUACCAUCAAACAGCGAAGUGGGCCGGCUCACUCGGCCCUUGCGGCACUGACGUACUCUUCUUCCUCUGUCGCCGUCGUUCUGUCUCCGUCACUCGGCCGACGGGCGCCAUCCCACCAGCAAAACCAACAUAAUCUCGGAACUAGCGACGUGUUGAACGACAUUGGCAACAUGCUAGCUGACCUGACGGACGAAUUGGGCUCUAUGUUCUUCGCCUGCCUUCCUCUUUCACCUUCGUGAGUGAUGAGCCGUUUCAACAACCUGCCGCGAGCAUAUCGAACCGGUGUUUGUCGGUCAUCGUGACGGGGCUACACUCGGCCGCCACCCUUCGCAUGAUCUAGAUACCAACAACUGCUGAACACGCACGCUUCAAGGAAUUGUUUGACUCGCAUUUUUCAAAUUACAUUCUGGCUAUGAACAUAAUAAAACCUGAUGGAUUUGCAAUUAUAUAGAUUCAUUAUGGCGCAUCCCCUAAAUUUGUUGCACUUUGCCAGAUUGGAAAAUUACUGUUUCACAGAGCACAGAUUCGAUGAAUUUUCCAAGAAAACCAGCAGAUGACAUAAUCCAUAAUAUUUCAUCUCCCUUUCAUCAUGUUGAGCCCACAACCCAAAAUGGAAGGUUCUGGGAGUGGUAUCUGACCAGAGGCCACGCUCUUACUUCAUUGCGCUGCAUACUGGGCCGUAAUUGUGCCAUCUAGUGUUACCGAGUGAACGGCAACCGUCGAUGACCCUCAGGGGCUAAUCGUACGAACUUAAGGACACAACUUCAGAGCGUGUGUCAGCUAGUCAAGAAUACCGGGGUUAUAUGGGUAACGAUCUUUAUAGAUAGACGUCCUUUAUAGCAACAGGACGCCUAACAGAUCGGGAGGUGAGUUUAGAAGUAAAUUGAGACGUAGAGAUUAGUAGUUGUGUGAGUAGUUAUUUUAGUGUGAGUAGUUAGUGGUUGAGUUAGCAGUUAGA
Molecule: long non-coding RNA, 2400 nt
Filed under: Daphnia pulex (common water flea)
Lineage: Eukaryota; Metazoa; Arthropoda; Branchiopoda; Diplostraca; Daphniidae
Description: uncharacterized LOC124195909, transcript variant X5
Source: RNAcentral